RNAcentral lists this long non-coding RNA (222 nucleotides) under Lathyrus oleraceus (garden pea). RNAcentral describes it as "Pisum sativum (pea) long non-coding RNA (PSAT_LNC026990)". Lineage: Eukaryota; Viridiplantae; Streptophyta; Magnoliopsida; Fabales; Fabaceae. The record is from RNAcentral.
UUCAUUGUUUUUUUUGCUUCAGUCUUGAUCAGAAUACAUAACGAAAUCCUAUUGGAUAUGGAUAUUUGAAGUAAAUCUUGUCAUCCAAUUGUUUAGUGAUGAUGUGGUGAAAAUAAAAGGUAUGUACUUCAAUUUUUUCCCUUAAAACAAUUGUGCCAACUAAGUUAUUUACAAUAAAAAACUUUUCAUAUCAGGGCAUUUGGUCUAGUGGUAUGAUUCUCG